GACAGAGGUGCCAAGCGUUAGGCGGAAUCACUGGGCUUAAAGCGUGUGUAGGCGGGUUCGUAAGUACCUUGUGAAAUCCCACGGCUUAACCGUGGAACUGCCCGGUAUACUGCGAGUCUUGAGCCAACUAGGGGCUACUGGAACAAAUGGUGGAGCGGUGAAAUGCGUAGAUAUCAAGAGGAACACCUGAGGUGAAGACGGGUUGCUAGGCUGACACUGACGCUGAGGCGCGAAAGCCAGGGGAGCAAACGGG
This 253-nucleotide ribosomal RNA is filed under the name uncultured bacterium. RNAcentral's name for it is "partial 16S ribosomal RNA". It matches the Rfam family "Bacterial small subunit ribosomal RNA", at positions 524 to 776 of the family's 1533-position model. The record is from RNAcentral.